GUCUACAGCCACACCACCCUGAGCACACCCAAUCUCUUCUGAUCUCAGAAGCUAAGCAGGGUCAGGCCUGGUUAGUACUUGGAUGGGAAAAAAUCUUUGCCCAUUUUGUUAUCAUAGAGU
Molecule: ribosomal RNA, 120 nt
Filed under: Castor canadensis (American beaver)
Lineage: Eukaryota; Metazoa; Chordata; Mammalia; Rodentia; Castoridae
Source: RNAcentral